GGGUGCUCUGGAUCUUUGUAUCUAGAGCCUGCGUGAAAGGUACAAAGAGAAAAGCCCCGAGUCGAUAUCCAUCAACCCGAGGCCUACUCUAACGCCAGCAACGUUAAGUUAGCCUCUUACCCGCCGCGAGGCAAGGAGAAGAAGGCAUGAUG
This is a non-coding RNA of Serratia marcescens subsp. marcescens Db11, 152 nucleotides long. The record is from Rfam. Lineage: Bacteria; Pseudomonadati; Pseudomonadota; Gammaproteobacteria; Enterobacterales; Yersiniaceae.